This is a small nuclear RNA of Apteryx haastii (Great spotted kiwi), 104 nucleotides long. Lineage: Eukaryota; Metazoa; Chordata; Aves; Apterygiformes; Apterygidae. The record is from Ensembl.
GUACUUCAAUAGCAUGUACACAUAAGACUGGAACAAUACAGUGGAGAUGAGUAUGGCCACUAUGCAAGGAUAACACACAUAUUUAUGAAGUGAUCCACAGAACA